GUCCAAACGUUAUUCGGAAUCACUGGGCUUACAGAGUUCGUAGGCGGUUCUACAAGUGGGGUGUGAAAGCCCUCGGCUCAACCGAGGAACUGCGCUCCAAACUGUAGAACUAGAGGGAGAUAGAGGUGAGCGGAACUGAUGGUGGAGCGGUGAAAUGCGUUGAUAUCAUCAGGAACACCGGAGGCGAAGGCGGCUCACUGGGUCUCUUCUGACGCUGAGGAACGAAAGCUAGGGGAGCAAACGGG
RNAcentral lists this ribosomal RNA (245 nucleotides) under uncultured bacterium. RNAcentral describes it as "partial 16S ribosomal RNA". It matches the Rfam family "Bacterial small subunit ribosomal RNA", at positions 532 to 776 of the family's 1533-position model. The record is from RNAcentral.